GGGCGGUCCAGCCAAUUUCACGUCGUCUUUAUUUAUUUUAUACUUGUUUUGUACACAACUAGGCAAAGCACCCAACCCAACGCAACCGCUUUAUAUAUUGAGAUUUCACCCUUUUCUCCUCUGAAAUUACUCACAUCUCUCUGUAUAUUGAGUUGAUCGUUUACGAGUAAUCGGCCUCUGCGAAGGGCCCUUUAGGUAAUUUGGACAACUGACAAACAGAUUUGAGUCUGAAGAUCGGUGUGCUCAUCAAGUUUCAUUAUAGUCAUCUGCUCUGGUUGCUGUGUCUUAUAUGAUGGCGUUUAUAUUGGGAGAGCAAACUUUAGGGUACUUUGUUAAUAAAGCUGCAGAAUUAUCUUAGGACCUUGUUCUGUGGAAUUUAAUUUUUUCAGAGAACUCAAUUUUGUUGUAAAAACAUUGCAGUUUUAUAUGAGGAUUGUGUGAAGCCUUAGAAUCUUGAGAUUCUUUAUUAUCGGUGUUAAAUUUGUGGCACACCGAGUGUAGUUGGUAUUUAGUGGCAUCUUUGAUAAGAAAUGACUGGUUCAAUUUAUAUCUUAUUUUAGUUUCUAAUACACUUGGGAGAUUCCAUGGCUUCCAAAACUUGUGUUUC
This is a non-coding RNA of Camellia sinensis, 607 nucleotides long. The record is from RefSeq and is a predicted model, not a curated record. Lineage: Eukaryota; Viridiplantae; Streptophyta; Magnoliopsida; Ericales; Theaceae.